RNAcentral lists this transfer RNA (78 nucleotides) under Candidatus Methanomethylophilaceae archaeon. RNAcentral describes it as "tRNA-Ile". It matches the Rfam family "tRNA". From Rfam's summary of the family: Transfer RNA (tRNA) molecules are approximately 80 nucleotides in length. Their secondary structure includes four short double-helical elements and three loops (D, anti-codon, and T loops). The record is from RNAcentral. Lineage: Archaea; Methanobacteriati; Thermoplasmatota; Thermoplasmata; Methanomassiliicoccales; Methanomethylophilaceae.
GGUCCCAUAGCUUAGCCUGGAUGGAGCGUCCGGCUGAUAACCGGAAGGUCGUGUGUUCGAAUCACAUUGGGACCACCA